RNAcentral lists this long non-coding RNA (604 nucleotides) under Physcomitrium patens. RNAcentral's name for it is "long non-coding RNA (PPAT_LNC012776)". The record is from RNAcentral. Lineage: Eukaryota; Viridiplantae; Streptophyta; Bryopsida; Funariales; Funariaceae.
AUAAUAACAAAAUCCUAAUUCUAAUAGAAUACUAACAAUGCUCUAAUUAGACCAUAAUAAUGCUAAGCAAGCUUAAUCAAAUUCAAAAAAAUGUCAAAGAAAUUUCAAACAAACAAUAAGAAUUCUUAAAGAAAUAUUAAAAGGAUCACAAAUAUCACUCAAAUACAUCUCAAUUCAAUCUUAAUUUAAUUCUAGUGAAAAUCCUAUUGAACUUCAUUCAAACUUUAGGCCAAAAAUAAUUAAAUCUUAAAUCCUAAUAAAAUCCUAAAUCCUAAAUCGAACCCUAAACAAACCUUAAACCAAAUUCCAAUCAAAUCCUAAAUUCUAAACCAAAUUCUAAUCCCAACCUUAAACCCUAAAUAAAAUCCUAACCAAACCUUAAAUCCUAAUCCUAAACCUUAAAUCCUAAUCCUAAAUUAAACUCUAAUCCAAAUCCUAAAUCCUAACCCUAAAUCAAACACUAAUCCUAACCUUAAAUUAUAAUUCUAAAUCAAACCCCAAUCUAAAUCUUAAACCCUAAAUCCUAAAUUAAAUCCUAAUCCAAAUCUUAAUCAAAUCUUAAACCAAAUCCUAAACCAAAUCCUAACCAAAUCCUAACCAAACU